UGCAUUUCUAACAAGCUCCCAGGAGGUGCUGAUCUGGACUAUGCACCACAGUGAGAAGCAAGAAUCUAGACCAGCACUCUGCAAACUGGAAUAGGAUACGUGAAACUUCCAAGCCUCCUGCAGCGCCUCCCUGGGUCUCAUCACAAGCAAAGUAUAAAGUGUUUUUGUCAGAAGCUUCCUUUUGCUCCAGACCCAUCCCUACCCCAGGAAGCCUGUCCAGCAUUGCUGUCUCCUUCCAGUGACUGAAAAUGUUCACCAAGCAAGGAUGUUGGAUGAUGAUAUGGACUGGGUUGGUGGCCACAGCAGGCUUGACUCUUCAGGGGCCAGAGAGAGUCCAAGAUUCAGGAAGCUGGACAACAGAUGGACAGAUCCCAGAAGGCUCGCUCUCCCCACCCUCCAGCAGCCAUAAUUAAUGUCUUCUAUUUCUUCCCUUCUGCCGGACAAAGCAAAACACACACUAACAGUGUUAACACGAUAAAUAUCAGCAGUCCUGACCUUUGUCUCUGCGUCCUGGAGUCGCCCUGACUCCCGAGCUCCAAGUUGCCUGUGCUUAACGUGGAUUAGCACUUGCGGUAGGCUGCGGGGCCCUGCACUAGGGCUUGAUGGGAAUCAAAAUAGAGAUUACCUUAUUUGACUUAAAAAAAAAUUUUUCCACUUGAAAGAUAGAAUCCCCCAGAGAAAUACACUGGGGCUUACACAUACACAACUUUAAAUUGGAUUUUAAAAAUAGUCUGCCAGCUGUUUGCUAGGUCAUGCCUUAGGUUCUUGUCCUUGAUUGAUGUUGGGUCCAUUUGGGAAACGAGGCCAAGAGGGGACAGAGGGACUGCCAAAGCCACAGGAUCCUGGAUGCCUGGGGACUUUCCCAGGAGCCCUGGCAGUUGUUGCCAUGGGCCUUUAGAAACCCUCGGAGCCCUGGCCCCAGGGUCUGCGUCUCGCCCAGAGCUUGAACGACCUCCCCCAGACCUCACCUCAUCCCUGCCUUGCUACUUCUAGGCCGAGUCUGGGGAAAAAAAGAAAGAGAGAAAAGAAAUGAAGGCAGACUGUUCUCAGCUGGAUGGCUCUUUCACAUUUUUUGUGGUUAAAUAUUUAUUUUAGCUCCUUGUAACACCUUCAAGUGAUACAUACACGGGCCCUCUGCCCAGAACUCUCAUCGCCCUCCUCUGUACCGGUCUGCCUGCUCUUCACAUCUCAGCUAUCAGCCAGAAUGCCACUUUCUUAGGGAAGCCUGAGGGGCAGAGUGUGGUGCUUAAGGACACCAGCGUGCCCAGGUUUGAAUCCUGGCUCAGCACUUCCUCGCUGUGUGACCUUGGGCUAGUCACUUAAUCCCCCGUGUCCUUUAACUUCCUCAGCUGCAAAAUGGGGAUAAUGAUAGCACCUACCUCAUCAGGGUUGUGAGGAUUCAGUGAAUUGACUUAUGGUGUACAGACAGAAUGCGUAAAGUGCUUCGAACCUGGUCCAACACGCAGUAAGCGCCUGUUAUUACUCUCUGAAGUACAGCUAUCUCCCAAGGCUCUGUGGUUGUCUGCUGCCAUGUGCUCCCUUAGCCACCUGUACUUCUGUGCGCCACCUGCCCUGGUUUAUCCGUAUUGCUUAAUUUUGUUUUCUCCACCAUGUCGCUCUUGCUCUCCACUGUCUGGUCCUGAUUACUGAAGCCAGGCCUAGCGCAGGAGAUGUUUUUGACCUCAAGAAAUGUUUUUGACCACAAUCGUAAAUGAAAUAUAAAAAAGAAGCAAUGUGAAAGGCAAACGCGACCCAGAAGACAGAGUAUCUCGAGGCUCUUGGCUCACGCCUCUCCGUCUAUAUUUGCUCCGUACAUAUACUUGGCCUUUUCGUUUUGUUUGUGUGAUGGUUAAACAGACAGAGUUGAUGAGUUCCGGGAUGAUGAGGAUACGGCUUUGCAAUCACAUCUUUUGCAGGAGACUUCCGCCCCUAUCUAGGUUUUCAAAAUCAAAUGUUAAAUGCAUACAAAAGAAUAAUCAUCUGGGCAAAAUGUAAAACACAGACAUCCAACUACCUACAGCCCAACUUAGAUAGAGGUUACAACCCGCCCACCACUGAAGCCCCACUGGGUACCUCUCCUCCACCCUCUCCCCAUCCUGGCCCCCUCCCAAAUUUCUGUUCAUUAUUCCCUUACUUUUCCUCAUAAUUUUACCCUAAAAAUAUGCUUGUUUUGCAUGCAU
Molecule: long non-coding RNA, 2180 nt
Organism: Prionailurus viverrinus (fishing cat)
Lineage: Eukaryota; Metazoa; Chordata; Mammalia; Carnivora; Felidae
Exons: 3
Source: RefSeq, a predicted model, not a curated record